GGCAAGGUGGCCGAGUGGUUUAAGGCGUUCGAUUCGAAUAGGUAUAAGAUUAAAGGGGAGGCUAUGCACCCCUAUCUUAUAACCUCUUUAUCGAAUUCAUUCGUGAGCCGGGGUUCAAAUCCCCGCCUUGUCG
This is a non-coding RNA of Aspergillus viridinutans, 133 nucleotides long. The record is from the annotation of a RefSeq genome assembly. NCBI's taxonomy places the organism in Eukaryota, Fungi, Ascomycota, Eurotiomycetes, Eurotiales, Aspergillaceae.